CCUACGGGUGGCAGCAGUGAGGAAUAUUGGUCAAUGGCCGAGAGUCUGAACCAGCACAGUAGCGUGAAGGAUGACUGUCCUAUGGGUUGUACACUUCUUUUAUAUGGGAAUAAACUGUUCCACGUGUGGGAUUUUGUCUGUACCUUAUGAAUAAGGAUCUGCUAACUCCGUGCCCGCAGCAGCGGUAAUACGGUGGAUCCGAGCGUUCUACGGAUGUAUGGGGGGUAAAGGGAGAGUAGGUGGAUUGUUAAGUCAGUUGGGAAAGGUGGCGGCUCAACCGUAAAAUUGCAGUUGAAACUGGCAGGCUUGAGUACAGUAGAGGUGGGCGGAAUUCGUGGUGUAGCGGUGAAAUGCUUAG
This 358-nucleotide ribosomal RNA is filed under the name uncultured bacterium. RNAcentral describes it as "partial 16S ribosomal RNA". It matches the Rfam family "Bacterial small subunit ribosomal RNA", at positions 338 to 693 of the family's 1533-position model. The record is from RNAcentral.